Molecule: small nuclear RNA, 83 nt
Filed under: Chinchilla lanigera (long-tailed chinchilla)
Lineage: Eukaryota; Metazoa; Chordata; Mammalia; Rodentia; Chinchillidae
Description: U4 spliceosomal RNA (ENSCLAG00000020796.1)
Rfam family: U4 spliceosomal RNA (bases 1-72)
About the family: U4 small nuclear RNA (U4 snRNA) is a component of the major U2-dependent spliceosome. The structure of U4 snRNA from yeast and human has been reported. U4 snRNA presents a k-turn RNA motif in the 5p-SL related to recognition of Snu13 protein.
Source: RNAcentral
AGCUUUGAACAGUGGCAGUAUUGUAGCCAACGAGGUUUAUCUGAGGUGUGAUUAUUGCUAAUUAAAAGCAGUCGCAUUAUUAG